UCGUGGAGGGUCACUUCACCCUGCUUCUGAACUGGGCUUCCAGCAUCACUCUGCCCGCCUACAGCCACCCUGCACACUCAUCUGCGAAUGCCUGCACUUUAGAAAAAAAGGAAAUUGGAGAUCUUGUAAAUCACUGCUGCCAUCAGACACUCUGUGCCUCAGCUCCUGCCCCAGGGUGCUGUGCUGAUGCCUUCAAGUGGGCAGCACUAGAGAUGGGAGAAUGACAGGAGCACCAUGGGACAAAUGUUUGGGCGAAUGACGAAUUGUUUCCCAGUUCAACCGCAGCCACCUCCCCAUCCCUUCUCCCCUGUGAGUCAAGGUCUGCCUACACAGGUGCUUUGAGACCAGCCUGAAUGCCCCUAUUCUUAGUGCACUGGUGGGACGAAAACUGCAGCGAAGACUAAUACACAGCAGCAUUGUAUUGGGAAAAGUUUCCAAUACAAAUUUGACUUAGGAGAAGCCAAGGAGCUGCACUGAAUCAACAGGAUUUGUUUAAUAAUACCAGCAUAAUUCAUCGCUUCAGGUACCGCUGAGAUCUCCGAGCAUGCCCUUCCUGCAGGACAAAGGGGUAGCAUAUGAUACCCUUACUUUGACCGUGAACUGCGGCCAGUGCUGGGGUGGAAGGCAGCCGUCCCAGCACAGAACAGUUUGGUGCACGACGGGAAGGCGGUAACAAGCUGGAAGUGACAGUGAAGUUUUAUUUCAUAAAGAUGCUCAAGUGGGCGAUGCCAUCAGAAGGAUACAAAGUAGAAGCCACAUCCUGCCGACUUGCCUAAUCCAUAAAAGAGCUUUCAGUGUUUUCCCUUGGAGUAAAAGCUUUAAAUUUUAAUAAGCUGUAGUGUACUUUCACCGGAUGUCAUAAGCUGAUACAAAGUUUAAAUGGGGUUAAGUAAGUUGGGAGCCUAGGAGAAACAAAC
RNAcentral lists this long non-coding RNA (917 nucleotides) under Struthio camelus australis. RNAcentral describes it as "lncRNA (ENSSCUG00000009993.1)". The record is from RNAcentral. Lineage: Eukaryota; Metazoa; Chordata; Aves; Struthioniformes; Struthionidae.